This 28-nucleotide small RNA is filed under the name Bombyx mori (domestic silkworm). RNAcentral describes it as "ovarian small RNA-34000". Lineage: Eukaryota; Metazoa; Arthropoda; Insecta; Lepidoptera; Bombycidae. The record is from RNAcentral.
UGCGUACAAACUGGGUCCGCAAAAUACC